GCCGGAGGAUGCAAUCGUUAUCCGGAAUGAUUGGGCGUAAAGCGUUCGCAGGUGGCUGUUCAAGUCUGCUGUCAAAGACCGGGGCUUAACCCUAGAAAGGCAGUGGAAACUGGACGGCUGGAGUGCAGUAUGGGUAGAGGGAAUUCCCAGUGUAGCGGUGAAAUGCGUAGAGAUUGGGAAGAACACCGGUGGCGAAAGCGCUCUGCUGGACUGCAACUGACACUGAGGGACGAAAGCUAGGGGAGCGAAAGGG
This 253-nucleotide ribosomal RNA is filed under the name uncultured bacterium. RNAcentral describes it as "partial 16S ribosomal RNA". It matches the Rfam family "Bacterial small subunit ribosomal RNA", at positions 524 to 776 of the family's 1533-position model. The record is from RNAcentral.